AUGCCUACCCAUGCUAAAACUACAAUAAAGAAUAGCUUUCAUCAAUUAUUUCGAUUCUGAAUAGGACAAUUAAGGUAAUUUCUAUGUCCGAUUAGUAUAAGUGUAAAAGCGUUUGUGUAGGCUCUUCCAUGAACCUCCCAUUUUUGGUUGUUAAGAAGCAAACGGCUGACACUGUGAUUUUUUAGAGGGAGGAGUUUGAACAGCCAGCAUGAACGGUUGUCGUAUUUAGGUCAAAUAUGUCAAUUUCGGAAUGCAACAC
Molecule: long non-coding RNA, 259 nt
Filed under: Mytilus galloprovincialis (Mediterranean mussel)
Lineage: Eukaryota; Metazoa; Mollusca; Bivalvia; Mytilida; Mytilidae
Source: RNAcentral